Phasianus colchicus (ring-necked pheasant) is the source of this 1844-nucleotide long non-coding RNA. The record is from Ensembl. Lineage: Eukaryota; Metazoa; Chordata; Aves; Galliformes; Phasianidae.
GGGUUGGGACACUUGGGUCGUGUGUUUUGGGAUUAUCACCAUCCACAGUCAGUCUGGGGCUGGGGUUGGGUGGCUGGGACACCUGGGUCGUGUAUUUUGGGGGUGCCUGAGUUCCUUGUUUUGGGGUGAUCACCAUCUGUGGUCUGUCUGGGGGGCUGGAACACCUGGGUCAUGUGUUUUGGGGGUGCCUGAGUCCCUUGUUUUGGGGUGAUCACCAUCCACAGUCAGUCUGGAGCUGGGGUUGGGGGGCUGGGACACCUGGGUUGUGUGUUUUGGGGGUGCCUGAGUCCCUUGUUUUGGGGUGAACUUGGGGUUCUGUAACAAUGGAACUCCUAUUUUGGCUUGCCAGUUUGUUUGGGGUUUCAGGAUACCCGAGUCCUGCAUUCUGGGGCACCGAGACACCUGGCUCCCAGUUUUGGGACACUNNNNNNNNNNNNNNNNNNNNNNNNNNNNNNNNNNNNNNNNNNNNNNNNNNNNCCCCUCCCUGGGUUAAUUUUGGGAUCCCUCCCCCUCCAAUUUUGGGGUAUCACCUUGCUCUCCCCACCUGUCCCACAGAACAGCGUGCUCUCCACCGGCACCACGCGCAGCCGCAACUCCCCGCUGCUCGACCGCGCCAGCCUGGGUCCCAACUCACUGCAAAACGGCAAGGACAGCGCGGCUCCAACGCGGGUUCCCGUGGCUUCGCCCUCCGCACACAACAUCAGCCAGGGGUUGUGCGAGCGGCCCAGUUUCCCACGCGGCGUUUCCAGCCGCAGCACCUUCCACGCCGGGCAGCUGAGGCAGGCCCGGGACCAGGCCCCCCUGCCCUACGCCGUGCCCCCCGCCUCCCCCUCGGGUGCCAGCCAGGGCCGCCGCGGGCCAUCAGCCAGCCUCUUCAGCAAGUUCACCUCCAAGUUCGUGCGCAGGUGAGCGCCUGGCUCCUCCUCUUCCUUCCAUCUCUUCCUUCUGUGUUCCCCCCCCCGUCGGCUCCGUUCCGGGGUCCAUCUGUGGCUCCUCCGUGUUCCCUACGUCCCCUCUGUGUUCUCCCUCUGUCCCCACCCCGGGGUUCCCCACAUCCCCUCUGUUCCCCUUCAUCCUCACUCCAAGGCUGCCUGUGGUGCCUCUGUGCUCCUCUUGUCUUCAUCCCCCAUUUGUGCCACCGCUGUCCCCACCCAGGGUCCCCCUUUGUCCCCUCUGUGUCCCCCACAUCCCCUCUGUGCCCCUUCAUCCCCACUCCAAGGCUGCCUGUGGUGCCUCUGUGCUCCUCUGGUCAUCAUCCCCCCAUUUAUGCCACCGCUGUCCCCACCCCAGGGUCCCCCUUUGUCCUUUCCAUGUCCCCUUUGUCCCCAUUCUACUCCUGUGUCCCCCUGUUGCUCCUCCUUCUCCCUACUGUUCUGUGUUCCCUCCCCAUGUCUCCCCCCUUGUUUCCUUCUCUUCUGUGUUCCCUUGGGACUCUCCACGUACCCCUGUGUCCUCUCCUCUUGUCCCGUGUCCCCUUCCUUCAUCCUAUGUCCCUCACUGUCCUCACAGNNNNNCCCCCCUUCAGCUCGUGUUCCCUCUGUGUCCCCCAUUGUCCCCUCCCUGUGCUGAUCCCCCAUUAUCCCCUCCCUGUGCUGAUCCCACCUCCUUCUGGGAGACUCGGGGGCAGUCUGGGGGGGGGGGAGAGGUGGGGUGACCCCAUUGCGGGGAGGGGGUGGCUCCCCCAGCCCCCCAGCGCCGCCCCCCAACGCCACCUUCUUUCUGUUUGUCUUUGUAGAAAUCUGUCUUUCAGGUUUGCCAGAAGGUAGGCGCCUCCUCCCCACCCCCUCCCAGCCCCCCCUCAGCCCUGCAUGUCCCCGUGUCCCCCUGUCCCUGUCCUGUCUGUC